This 208-nucleotide ribosomal RNA is filed under the name uncultured Desulfobacteraceae bacterium. RNAcentral's name for it is "partial 16S ribosomal RNA". It matches the Rfam family "Bacterial small subunit ribosomal RNA", at positions 568 to 775 of the family's 1533-position model. Lineage: Bacteria; Pseudomonadati; Thermodesulfobacteriota; Desulfobacteria; Desulfobacterales; Desulfobacteraceae. The record is from RNAcentral.
CGCGUAGGCGGCCGUUUAAGUCAGGUGUGAAAGCCCGGGGCUUAACCCCGGAAGUGCAUUUGAUACUGAGCGGCUUGAGUAUGGGAGAGGGAAGUGGAAUUCCUGGUGUAGAGGUGAAAUUCGUAGAUAUCAGGAGGAACACCGGUGGCGAAGGCGACUUCCUGGACCAAUACUGACGCUGAGGCGCGAAGGCGUGGGGAUCAAACAG